This 369-nucleotide long non-coding RNA is filed under the name Malus domestica (apple). RNAcentral describes it as "long non-coding RNA (MDOM_LNC006371)". The record is from RNAcentral. Lineage: Eukaryota; Viridiplantae; Streptophyta; Magnoliopsida; Rosales; Rosaceae.
GGGGAUCGAGGUAUUCUUGUGAUUUCAAGUCAAACAACAAGGGCAACUGCUCUCUGAUGGACCAAACGACUUAAGUUCCCCCUACUGUUCCAUCCGUGGUCGAACCAGUCGUCGUUCCAUUGGUCGAGGGUCCUGCAAUUCAAGGACCGAUUGUUACUCCUGCAGUUGGCUCAAUAGCUGUUGCUGUGGGAAGGUGGCCACUCUGGCUAAGAAUAACCCAUCCCCAAAUCUAAAAAAGAAACCAAUAAUCGUCGUCAAAGAAAAGGUACGACCAUUUUUGUUAGUAAUUUUUCUAUUUAAUUGGACCUCCCAACUAAUGAACAACAUUUUUUUGUCUAGAAGGACGAGAGCAAAUAACCUUUGUUGGUG